AUACGGAGGGUGCGAGCGUUGUUCGGAAUUACUGGGCGUAAAGCGGGUGUAGGCGGUGGAUCAAGUCAGAUGUGAAAGCCCUCGGCUCAACCGAGGAAGUGCAUCUGAAACUGGUUCACUAGAGUACGGGAGAGGAGAGUGGAAUUCCCAGUGUAGAGGUGAAAUUCGUAGAUAUUGGGAGGAACACCGGUGGCGAAGGCGGCUCUCUGGAACGAUACUGACGCUGAGACCCGAAAGCGUGGGGAGCAAAUAGGAUUAGAUACCCCGGUAGUCC
RNAcentral lists this ribosomal RNA (274 nucleotides) under uncultured bacterium. RNAcentral describes it as "partial 16S ribosomal RNA". It matches the Rfam family "Bacterial small subunit ribosomal RNA", at positions 523 to 796 of the family's 1533-position model. The record is from RNAcentral.